RNAcentral lists this ribosomal RNA (500 nucleotides) under uncultured bacterium. Its description in RNAcentral is "partial 16S ribosomal RNA". It matches the Rfam family "Bacterial small subunit ribosomal RNA", at positions 30 to 523 of the family's 1533-position model. The record is from RNAcentral.
AUUGAACGCUGGCGGCAUGCCUUACACACGCAAGUCGAACGGCAGCACGGGAGCAAUCCUGGUGGCGAGUGGCGAACGGGUGAGUAAAGUAUCGGAACGUGCCCAGUCGUGGGGGAUAACGUAGCGAAAGUUACGCUAAUACCGCAUACGAUCUAUGGAUGAAAGCGGGGGAUCGCAAGACCUCGCGCGAUUGGAGCGGCCGAUAUCAGAUUAGGUAGUUGGUGGGGUAAAGGCUCACCAAGCCGACGAUCUGUAGCUGGUCUGAGAGGACGACCAGCCACACUGGGACUGGGACACGGCCCAGACUCCUACGGGAGGCAGCAGUGGGGAAUUUUGGACAGUGGGCGAAAGCCUGAUCCAGCCAUGCCGCGUGCAGGAUGAAGGCCUUCGGGUUGUAAACUGCUUUUGUACGGAACGAAAAGGUUUGGCCUAAUACGCUGAACUCAUGACGGUACCGUAAGAAUAAGCACCGGCUAACUACGUGCCAGCAGCCGCCGUAA